RNAcentral lists this ribosomal RNA (200 nucleotides) under uncultured bacterium. RNAcentral's name for it is "partial 16S ribosomal RNA". It matches the Rfam family "Bacterial small subunit ribosomal RNA", at positions 8 to 223 of the family's 1533-position model. The record is from RNAcentral.
AGAGUUUGAUCCUGGCUCAGGAUAAACGCUGGCGGCGUGCCUAACACAUGCAAGUCGAACGCUCUGCGCAAGCAGGGAGUGGCGGACGGGUGAGGAACACGUGGGUUAUCUACCUUGAGGUGAGGAAUACCGGCGAGAAAUCGCCGACAAUACCGCAUAGGUUUGGAAACAAACAAAGUCCUGGAAACAGGACGCCUGAA